RNAcentral lists this microRNA precursor (73 nucleotides) under Pelobates cultripes (western spadefoot toad). Lineage: Eukaryota; Metazoa; Chordata; Amphibia; Anura; Pelobatidae. The record is from RNAcentral.
GUGUAUAUAAUGCAGUGUGUUUGUAUAGUGUGCAUUAUAUAAACACUACACAAACACACUGCAUUAUAUACAC